This 253-nucleotide ribosomal RNA is filed under the name uncultured bacterium. Its description in RNAcentral is "partial 16S ribosomal RNA". It matches the Rfam family "Bacterial small subunit ribosomal RNA", at positions 524 to 776 of the family's 1533-position model. The record is from RNAcentral.
UACAGAGGUCUCAAGCGUUGUUCGGAUUCAUUGGGCGUAAAGGGUGCGUAGGUGGCGCUGUAAGUCGGGUGUGAAAUUUCGGAGCUUAACUCCGAAACUGCAUCCGAUACUGCGGUGCUUGAGGACUGGAGAGGAGACUGGAAUUCAUGGUGUAGCAGUGAAAUGCGUAGAGAUCAUGAGGAAGACCAGCGGCGAAGGCGGGUCUCUGGACAGUUCCUGACACUGAGGCACGAAGGCCAGGGGAGCAAACGGG